UACGAAGGGAGCUAGCGUUGUUCGGAAUCACUGGGCGUAAAGCGCACGUAGGCGGAUGUGUCAGUCAGGGGUGAAAUCCCGGAGCUCAACUUCGGAACUGCCUUUGAUACAGCACGUCUUGAGUCCGAUAGAGGUGGGUGGAAUUCCUAGUGUAGAGGUGAAAUUCGUAGAUAUUAGGAAGAACACCGGUGGCGAAGGCGGCCCACUGGAUCGGUACUGACGCUGAGGUGCGAAAGCGUGGGGAGCGAACGGG
This 253-nucleotide ribosomal RNA is filed under the name uncultured bacterium. RNAcentral's name for it is "partial 16S ribosomal RNA". It matches the Rfam family "Bacterial small subunit ribosomal RNA", at positions 524 to 776 of the family's 1533-position model. The record is from RNAcentral.